GGCAGCGUGGGGUAGUGGUUUGGGCACUGGACUACGACUCUGGAGACCGAGGUUGGAAUCCCCCUUCGGCCA
Non-coding RNA from Phrynosoma platyrhinos (Desert horned lizard), 72 nucleotides. NCBI's taxonomy places the organism in Eukaryota, Metazoa, Chordata, Lepidosauria, Squamata, Phrynosomatidae. The record is from the annotation of a GenBank genome assembly.